RNAcentral lists this ribosomal RNA (167 nucleotides) under uncultured bacterium. RNAcentral describes it as "partial 16S ribosomal RNA". The record is from RNAcentral.
CGGCCAAACAAUGGGCGAUACUGACCAGCCAUGUCGCGUGCGGUGACGGCCUUAUGGGUUGUAAACUGCUUUUAUGAGGGGGUAAAGUGCGGGCGUGUACCUUUUUGCAGGUACCGUUUGACUAAGGACCGGCUAAUUCCGUGCCUGCGGCCGCGGUAAUAGUUAUA